GAUGCAGGAAGAGGCAGGUUAAAUCCCUUGGUCAGGAAGAACCCCUGGAGGAGGAAAUGGCAACCCACAACAGUAUUCUUGCCUGGAAAAUUCCAUGAGCAGAGGAGCCUGGGCUUCUAAAUAUGCGAUAAGAAGAAACGGUUUGUUAGACUAAAGAAAAUCAGAAGUUCCAGAUCACAUGUCUACUGUUAUCAUCUAUGUGAAGGACUGCAGCUAGAAAUCACCUCCAGAAUUCCUUCUGGCAAAAAAUUAUAGUCAUGUAUGGAUGUGAGAGUUGGACUGUGAAGAAAGCUGAGUGCCGAAGAAUUGAUGCCUUUGAACUGUGGUUAUGGAGAAGAUUCUUGAGAGUCCCUUGGCCUGCAAGGAGAUCCAACCAGUCCAUUCUAAAGGACAUCAGUCCUGGGUGUUCUUUGGAAGGACUGAUGCUAAAGCUGAAACUCCAAUAC
Bos taurus (domestic cattle) is the source of this 446-nucleotide long non-coding RNA. The record is from Ensembl. Lineage: Eukaryota; Metazoa; Chordata; Mammalia; Artiodactyla; Bovidae.